Haliotis rubra (blacklip abalone) is the source of this 3417-nucleotide long non-coding RNA. RefSeq lists it as uncharacterized. The record is from RefSeq and is a predicted model, not a curated record. Lineage: Eukaryota; Metazoa; Mollusca; Gastropoda; Lepetellida; Haliotidae. The transcript has 3 exons.
GCGGCCAUGAGUUCGACAUGACUCUACUUCCUACAGGAACCAUGACAGAUGGUAAAGGGAGAUGAUAUGAAAAUCACACUUAGGAAGAGAAGGUGUUUUCAAAGGGGGGUGGUCUGCACUCAUUGCUGGCCAUAACAUCCUAUGAGUGUGGAGCAUUGACGAUAGGUGAGCACAUGCAUUGUUGUCCUGAAAGAAAAAAUGUCGAACCACCUGCCUUGUAAACGGGACACACAAACGAUGUCAGUAUGUCAUCCCGCUAGACGUAUCUAGCGACCCUUCCUUGCACAAUAUGGAGUCUCGUUCUAUCGCCGUGACGUUAUCCAAAACCAUACAAGAUCCACCUCCGAAUCCGUAAUGAAGUUGACGUUGGCUUGACGCUCUUUGCUGCCCUUUUCACUACAUCCCAUGUGUACACAAAGAAAAUAUGAACGGUUUCUUUCGAAAUGACUACUACCACAUGGUCUAGCAGAUGUUGACAGAGGAGAGACUGUCCUGUGCUGAAGUUACGUAAACCUUCUCGAGAUGAAGACACAAGGUUCCAACACCAUCACUGAUGGAUCUGCCAAAGUUUCUAUAACUGUCAUAAAGGUAUUAUAUCUAACACGCCAGGAAGCUGUUUGAUAAAGUUUUAUUGUAAAAGUUUUAAUGUUUUUAAAUAUAAAAUGUUUCUUCUGCCAUAGUGGCAGUGAAGAACCUCGCAACACAUUUUGAAAAUUCUCACAAGUUAUCACACAUGCUAUUCUCUGCUCCCUGAGCAAACAUGUCUUGUUUUCAUCAACCUUCAUUGAAACGUGUGUCUGAAGGAACAAACAGUUACCUAUGUGUUAUCAUAUUUUGACAGCGACGUGUAUGGGUGCAUUUAUCUUUGAUAUCCGGAGUUACAACAAUAUAUAUAUGAACAAGUCAAGCAUUAAGCCAUUGCAGAACCUCACGACAUACAGUGUAGAGUCGUCCCACGCACCAACACUGUUAUUGUUUUUGUGUCAGGCUGGCAGAUAAUAAAUGAAAAUUAGUUGCAGUUGCAGAUUGCAAGCUGAAAGAGGAUAUACGUUUUUCUGAUAUUUGAAUUGAACAAUAAACUAAGAUCGUAAAGGUCUAAGACCUGCGCCCAUUCUAACAGUAUUCACUUACAUAUACAUCACACCCAGCCAGCAGUAUACACAUGUAAGAAGAUAGCCUGUGACACCUGUUCUUGACUUUUACCACGUUGGUAGCCUCAAGACUCCAAAGUCUGGACGAAUGAAACAUUAAGUAGCGCAUAAAGCAGGUCAAGAGUUUUGCUGGUAGUUUAAAUUGAAAUUGUUGUUGUUAUUGCAACUGACAGAACAUUUGUCCAGAAUGUCCAGGUGUGAGGAAAAUGUUCACAGGUUUGCAUAAGGUUCCCGUUUUAACUGUGUCUCCAUUGACGCUUCUUUUCCAAAUAGUUGCGAACUGAUGAUAAACAAGAUUUCAGUGUGUUGAAUCACCACGUCCUUAAAGUGGUUCGUGGUGUUUGUACAACUACUUAGUACAAUAACGAUGUGGUAACAUUGCGUUCUAUGAGGAUUUACUGAUCAAUUUCCAGAUCUUCUAUCGGUGCAGAAGUGUUCUCACGGUGCUUAAAACUGUCUCAGUUGGCUGAUGUUCUUAUAAACUUAUGCUUCAGUCUAAUCUCACGAGAAGCGGUAAAUCCAUGUACAUAGUUGUCUUGCCAAGGCUUGUACGGACCUGAUGCUGGCGGGUUCGAUGACAAAACCUACAUAAUACAGCGAGGAUCACAUUUCCAAAGUAGGAUCCACUAAACGGUUCACUGUUAUUUCAAAAUAUUUGACAGUCAUUUUCCUCAUAGGAAAGUGUUAUUCUCCUGGUCAUAAAUACAAAUAGUUGAUAGGAAAUAUAUGUCAACACUGCUGAUUGACGUGGAACUAGGCAGAUUGGUUAGCUAUACAUCAUGAUAGCUUCGAGCGUCUCCCAGGCAUGAUAAUGAGUGGAAAUGGGAUUACUGAUAUUGUCUUGACAACUAAUCUCAUAAGUCACAUGUCGUCAGUGACCCUUUAUACUGAUGUGGAGAAUUAUAAUGCACACAGAUUCUGUUAUGGCGAACACUUCCCAUUCAUGACAAGGAAUGGCAAACACUCGUUGGAAUUUCUGGCCAACUAAUCAAGUAAGUUAUAUAUCCUAUCAAAUACACGUGAUACUAGUGUAUAUAUUUUUCAGUAUGGAAAUAGAAGUGACAAAACCCUUUCUACAUCCAUAAGAAAUAUUUGCUAGAAUCAAAGUAAUAUAUUUGUUGCUGAAUAAAGCAGUACGAUGACGGAGCAUGUGCUUAUAACUAUCGAAAAGUGAUGAUACCAGGUAUUCGCGAAAAGAUGAGUGUCCUGCCCCACCGAUGGCACCCGUCAUCAACAUAUGCAAAGUCUAAUCAAUUGUCACCAGGAAGUUUCGGGAAAGUAUCGUAGAAGUCAAAAUAGGGCAUUCCUUUGUUUUGUCACUGAUGCAUCAAAUUUGGAAAUACCAUCCACUUGUCUGACAUAAAACCUUUUGAAAGCUUUACUGAGGCCUUGAACUCUAUAACCUUGGUCGAACAAUUUCUGAUCUUCUUGAAAUCUUGGCAAAACACUAUGCUCGUUUGUACUUCAGAAGUUGCGAACAGAAUUGUAAACACCAACGGCUGGAACUGUUGGAAUAUUGCUCGACAUGAAAGGAAAGGUGGCUAUCCGAAAGUUGAAGUCACCCCCUUUGUCAUACAGCCAAGUGGAGAGUUUCUGUGUGACUCUUAAUCUUUAUACAUAGAUCAAAAUAUGAAACAGCUGAGGCGGUCUCACUUGUCUCCUUAAUUUCAAGUUUAGGUGGAUACAUCAGUGGAAGGGGAUUUGCUAUUUGAUGGUUAUUGAACGACAUCAGAUCAUCGAUAUACCUGAAGCAAUUUCUUUGCUGUUUCUUGAGUCACAGCACAUCACGAUCAGUACAAAACGGACAUACUUGGUAAUGGCAGCGGUCAGUCUGUUACACGUUUUUUUCCCAUGUUGUCAUUCCUGUUGUGGAUUUCUCAGACUGGAAGUGAUAUAAGGAACAUGUCCACCAAUUACAACAGGCGUGAUGAUGACACAUUGAGUCUUCAUUUCAUGUACAGAAGUUGGACAAUUCGCUGAGCAAUUCACCAAGCAGCGUAAAUGUGCCCUACUUACAUUUCUUAUAUUUGUUCGGAGGAUGUAGAUGCAAGAAGGACACUGUGUCAGAAGACAGCCGAGGACAAGUAUCAUUGUGACACACGUAUGUGUCAUGGACACGUAGUAACAGGCGCAAGACAGAGGUUAAAGUAAACUGAAAUUAAUGUCAGAUGUACGUAACUCUGAUCACCAUCUGUCGAUCUCACCUGGCUUCGUGGAUUCCAUACACGAAUUAAUACUUCCACGUGUUUUAGCCGAUGUUGACAGA